GACAGAGGGUGCAAACGUUGUUCGGAAUUACUGGGCGUAAAGCGAGUGUAGGCGGUCUUAAAAGUCAGGUGUGAAAGCCCCGGGCUCAACCCGGGAAGUGCACUUGAAACUGCAAGGCUAGAGUUCUGGAGAGGAAGGUGGAAUGCUUGGUGUAGAGGUGAAAUUCGUAGAUAUCAAGCGGAACACCGGUGGCGAAGGCGGCCUUCUGGACAGUAACUGACGCUGAGACGCGAAAGCGUGGGGAGCAAACAGG
This 253-nucleotide ribosomal RNA is filed under the name uncultured bacterium. RNAcentral's name for it is "partial 16S ribosomal RNA". It matches the Rfam family "Bacterial small subunit ribosomal RNA", at positions 524 to 776 of the family's 1533-position model. The record is from RNAcentral.